RNAcentral lists this ribosomal RNA (253 nucleotides) under uncultured bacterium. Its description in RNAcentral is "partial 16S ribosomal RNA". It matches the Rfam family "Bacterial small subunit ribosomal RNA", at positions 524 to 776 of the family's 1533-position model. The record is from RNAcentral.
UACGGAGGAUCCAAGCGUUAUCCGGAUUUAUUGGGUUUAAAGGGUGCGUAGGCGGGUUGAUAAGUUAGAGGUGAAAUGUCCGAGCUCAACUCGGGAACUGCCUCUAAUACUGUUGAUCUAGAGAGUAGAUGCGGUAGGCGGAAUGUAUGGUGUAACGGUGAAAUGCUUAGAGAUCAUACAGAACACCGAUUGCGAAGGCAGCUUACCAAUCUAUAUCUGACAUUGAGGCACGAAAGCGUGGGGAGCAAACAGG